This 784-nucleotide ribosomal RNA is filed under the name uncultured bacterium. RNAcentral's name for it is "bacterial SSU rRNA". It matches the Rfam family "Bacterial small subunit ribosomal RNA", at positions 34 to 814 of the family's 1533-position model. The record is from RNAcentral.
CGCUGCGGCAGGCUUAAUACAUGCAAGUCGAACGGUAACAGGCCUGGCAACAGGCGCUGACGAGUGGCGCACGGGUGCGUAACACGUAUGCAACCUACCCUGUACUGGGGGAUAACCCUGAGAAAUCGGGGCUAAUACCCCAUGGUAAUAUAGAUGGGCAUCCAUUUAUAUUUAAAGAUUCAUUGGUACGGGAUGGGCAUGCGCCCCAUUAGUUAGUUGGUGAGGUAACGGCUCACCAAGGCAUUGAUGGGUAGGGGUUCUGAGAGGAUUACCCCCCACACUGGUACUGAGACACGGACCAGACUCCUACGGGAGGCAGCAGUAAGGAAUAUUGGGCAAUGGAGGCAACUCUGACCCAGCCAUGCCGCGUGCAGGAAGACUGCCCUAUGGGUUGUAAACUGCUUUUUCAGGGGACUAACCGUGGUUACGUGUGACCACCUGCAUGUACCCUGGGAAUAAGCAUCGGCUAACUCCGUGCCAGCAGCCGCGGUAAUACGGAGGAUGCGAGCGUUAUCCGGAUUUAUUGGGUUUAAAGGGUGCGUAGGCUGACAUGUAAGUCAGUGGUGAAAGACCCCGGCUUAACCGGGGGGUUGCCAUUGAAACUGUAUGUCUUGAGUGUAAUCGAAGUGGGCGGAAUGAGGGGUGUAGCGGUGAAAUGCAUAGAUAUUCCUCAGAACACCGAUAGCGAAGGCAGCUCACUAGCUUACAACUGACGCUGAGGCACGAAAGCGUGGGUAUCAAACAGGAUUAGAUACCCUGGUAGUCCACGCUGUAAACGAUGAUC